RNAcentral lists this non-coding RNA (197 nucleotides) under Pseudovibrio exalbescens. RNAcentral describes it as "Nesiotobacter exalbescens Lysine sequence". It matches the Rfam family "Lysine riboswitch aptamer". From Rfam's summary of the family: Riboswitches are metabolite binding domains within certain messenger RNAs that serve as precision sensors for their corresponding targets. Allosteric rearrangement of mRNA structure is mediated by ligand binding, and this results in modulation of gene expression. Lineage: Bacteria; Pseudomonadati; Pseudomonadota; Alphaproteobacteria; Hyphomicrobiales; Stappiaceae. The record is from Rfam by way of RNAcentral.
GAAGCAAGUAGAGGCGCAUCGCGUUAUCACUACGCCGGAUGAGGGGGCACCCGAAGAUCCCGGCGGAAAGGAGCCGAUGCCGAAGAGACCCGGAUGGCGAUCCCGGUCUCUGGGGCUGCAUUGAACAAGUGCAGCACUGCCAUAGGAAUUCCCCGUCUGCGCGGGGGUAACAAUGACUAUGGAGCGCUACUGAGGUA